This 273-nucleotide ribosomal RNA is filed under the name uncultured bacterium. Its description in RNAcentral is "partial 16S ribosomal RNA". The record is from RNAcentral.
CUGCUGCCUUCCGUAGGAGUUUGGACCGUGUCUCAGUCCCAAUGUGGGGGACCUUCCUCUCAGAACCCCUACGCAUCGUCGGCUUGGUGGGCCGUUGCCCCACCAACUACCUAAUGCGCCGCAUGCCCAUCCGUGACCGGGGUCGCCCCCUUUGGCCGGCAGGGGAUGUCCCCUCCCGGCAUUAUGUUGUAUUAGGCGGGAUUUCUCCCGGUUAUCCAUCUGUCACGGCCAGGUUGCAUACGUGUUACUCACCCGUGCGCCGGUCGCCGGCGG